This 65-nucleotide ribosomal RNA is filed under the name Leiophron uniformis. RNAcentral's name for it is "partial 28S ribosomal RNA". It matches the Rfam family "Eukaryotic large subunit ribosomal RNA", at positions 1 to 61 of the family's 3401-position model. Lineage: Eukaryota; Metazoa; Arthropoda; Insecta; Hymenoptera; Braconidae. The record is from RNAcentral.
UUGACGACCUCAGAGUAGGUGAGACUACCCGCUGAACUUAAGCAUAUCAAUAAGCGGAGGAAAUC